AAUAAGACCGUUUUUUAGUUUUUGAUACAAUGUUUUUACUCUUCGUCUUAUUUGAAAUUUUUUACAAUUAAUAUUUUUAUUCUUAUUAGAUGGUAAAACAUGAAUAAUACUUUAUGCGUGACUAUUUUUUAAAGUUUUUUAUAAUUUUUUCAAAUAAGACGAAUGGUCAAACGUUAGACACGAAAAA
Molecule: microRNA precursor, 187 nt
Filed under: Oryza brachyantha (malo sina)
Lineage: Eukaryota; Viridiplantae; Streptophyta; Magnoliopsida; Poales; Poaceae
Description: MIR812 microRNA precursor family
Rfam family: MIR812 microRNA precursor family
Source: Rfam by way of RNAcentral